GAUGAACGCUGGCGGCGUGCCUAAUACAUGCAAGUCGAGCGAACAGACGAGGAGCUUGCUCCUUUGACGUUAGCGGCGGACGGGUGAGUAACACGUGGGUAACCUACCUAUAAGACUGGGAUAACUUCGGGAAACCGGAGCUAAUACCGGAUAAUAUUUCGAACCGCAUGGUUCGAUAGUGAAAGAUGGCUUUGCUAUCACUUAUAGAUGGACCUGCGCCGUAUUAGCUAGUUGGUAAGGUAACGGCUUACCAAGGCAACGAUACGUAGCCGACCUGAGAGGGUGAUCGGCCACACUGGAACUGAGACACGGUCCAGACGACUACGGGAGGCAGCAGUAGGGAAUCUUCCGCAAUGGGCGAAAGCCUGACGGAGCAACGCCGCGUGAGUGAUGAAGGUCUUCGGAUCGUAAAACUCUGUUAUUAGGGAAGAACAAACGUGUAAGUAACUGUGCACGGCUUGACGGUACCUAAUCAGAAAGCCACGGCUAACUACGUG
RNAcentral lists this ribosomal RNA (497 nucleotides) under uncultured bacterium. Its description in RNAcentral is "partial 16S ribosomal RNA". It matches the Rfam family "Bacterial small subunit ribosomal RNA", at positions 28 to 507 of the family's 1533-position model. The record is from RNAcentral.